Molecule: ribosomal RNA, 463 nt
Filed under: uncultured bacterium
Lineage: Bacteria
Description: bacterial SSU rRNA
Rfam family: Bacterial small subunit ribosomal RNA
Source: RNAcentral
GACGAACGCUGGCGGCGUGCCUAACACAUGCAAGUCGAACGGAGUUAAGACUUCGGUUUUAACUUAGUGGCGAACGGGUGAGUAACGCGUGAGAAACCUGCCUUUCAGUGGGGGACAACAGUUGGAAACGACUGCUAAUACCGCAUAAUGUAUUUUGACCGCAUGAUCGAAAUACCAAAGCUUUAUGUGCUGAAAGAUGGUCUCGCGUCUGAUUAGCUAGUUGGUGAGGUAACGGCUCACCAAGGCGACGAUCAGUAGCCGGUCUGAGAGGAUGAACGGCCACAUUGGGACUGAGAUACGGCCCAGACUCCUACGGGAGGCAGCAGUGGGGAAUAUUGGGCAAUGGGGGAAACCCUGACCCAGCAACGCCGCGUGAAGGAAGAAGGCCUUCGGGUUGUAAACUUCUUUACCAGGGACGAAGAACGUGACGGUACCUGGAGAAAAGACAACGGCUAACUACGUG